GGCAUAUGGAAGUUCCCAGCCUAGGGGUUGAAUCAGAGCUAUGGCUGCCAGCCUAUGCCACAGCCACAGCAAUGCAGGAUCCAAGCCACAUCUGUGAACUACACCAGAACUCACGGCAAUGCCGGAUCAAUGACUCAGGGAGCAAGGCUAGGGAUUGGACCUACAUCCUCAUGGAUACUAGUCAAAUUCGUUUCCACUGUGCCACAUUGGGAACUCCUCAUUAAUGUGGUUUUAGAAGGACAAUGGUUGCUGUGCAGUGAAUAGUUUGCACAGGGUCAAUUCCAGAAUCAGGAGUCCAGCGAGAAGGCUACUGACAUGGUCCUGGAGGGAGGUGACAGUGGUUUGGACUGAGAGGUGAUAGCAGAAGCAGAGAAGAGUAAGUGAACUAAGACAGAGUUCAGACAUAAAACUGAUGGCAUUUGCCGACAGUGAACUUUGGGAAAUGGGGAAGAGGAAGGAAUCAAGGAUGAGUUGUAGGCUUCUGGUUUAUAUACUUGGCUAGAUUGUGGCAUGAUUUUUUUUUUUUUUUUUUGGUCGUCUUUUUGCCAUUUCUUGGGCCGCUCCCACGGCAUAUGGAGUUUCCCAGGCUAGGGGUCUAAUCAGAGGUAUAGCCACCGGCCUACACCAGAGCCACAGCAACAUGGGAUCCGAGCCGCAUCUGCAACCUACACCACAGCUCACGGCAACACCGGAUCCACUGAGCAAGGCCAGGGACUGAACCCGCAGCCUCAUGGUUCCUAGUCGGAUUUGUUAACCACUGCGCCAUGACAGGAACUCUGAUUGUGGCAUGAUUUAUUGAUGUAUCAAUGGACCAAAUGGGGCUGGAAAGUCAAGAUUUUAUUUUGACAGGGUAAUAAAGAUGCCAAUUACAUAUUCAUGUGGAUGUUCCACGAUGACAGUUGACUAUGUAAUUCUGAAAUUAAGAGAGUGGUGAGAACUAGAGAUAUAAAGUGGAGCCAUCAGCUGAUGGAUGAUAGUUGAAGCCUUGGGACCACGUGAUGUCACCCAGGGAAAAUAUAAAUGGGGGCCCAGAGGAAAUGACCUAGGAAAAGGACAUUUCAUAUCAAACGUUUGAAAAAUGAGGAUUAGCCUAUGGGUAGAAGCAUGUGAUGUCUCAGUAUUCAUGUGCAGAAAAUGUUUCAAAGAGAAAGUUAGUUAGUCAGUCAGUUAGUUCUGGAGAGAACCAUAUCCCACAUAGGAAUUAGGAAGAAGAAAAACUAGAGCUUGGAAUCAUGUUCUUUCUCUGCAGUCUAUAUCCUAAAGUUUUUCUACAGUGUCAUGUCUCUGGAUUAACUACCAUAGUUCCCAAUUCACCCGUGUAUUGAAGUUCGUAUAAUUCAAAUUCUGAUACUCUUAAUGCACACACUGGCCUCUCAAUAAAGUUGGUAAUGUUUUAUUUUAAUUAGACCCUACGUAACACUGAUAUUAUUGAUUUUAGGUCACCUUUCUCCUUUUGAAUUUGAGGCUGAUUUAUUUAUGCUCAGAUAUUAACGGAUUAUCUGAAAUCAUUCACCCUCAACUAUCUCUAGUUUUUGUUACAUUUCAAUAGAGAACAAAAAUAUUUUUAAUGUGCCCUUCCCAACUUCGUAGUUUCAUUCCACUUGGAUUUGAAACAAGAAAUGGAGGAUUGUUUCUUAUUCCUUUGUUAAAAGGAAUGAGAUAAAAAAUCAUUAUAAAUAUUUUAGGAAUAUAAGAAAGAAGGAAUUUUGGCAUUGUCCUUUAAGACUAAAGAAUAUAUUUUAUAGUACUCACUCAUAAUUAAGAAUUGUGUUCUUGGUUUUGUAAUUAAACUGGAAGAGUAAAAUAUUACUUGUGAUUAUGUUCAUUAUGUGAAUUAAAUGCUGCAAUUCAAUGUAAAUGUUAUAUACUCAUAAAAGAGAUUCAUAAUUGGAAUGUAAGGCUAAUUGCAUAUAAGACAUGUGGGAAAGAAGAAAAUUAUGAGACACUGUAACAAUGACUUUCCUGGCUAUUGUAAAUCUAGUAGCGUAGUGAUGAAACAUGAUGUGUCAGACUUAAAAUGCCAUUAAGAGAGUCUAGUGAUGCAACCAGUGAGCAAAACAGACUUAAACUCCCAGUAAAUUACUGUUUCGUUUAAAAUGAUCUAAAACAUAUAUUAAAAUAUUAGCAAUUAAGGAUUUAGAAAAGUCACAAUGAAUGCAUGAAAUAACUGGGUUAAAAGCUUAUUGUUUUAUGGGAAUUCCAGUGUCAUGGCUCAGUGGUAAUGAACCCAACUAGUAACCAUGAGGACACAGGUUCAAUCCCUGGCCUCGCUCAGUGGGUUAAAGAUCCGGUGUUGCAGGGAGCUGUGGUAUGGUUUGCAGACACAGCUAGGCUCCACCGUUGCUGUGGCUGUGGUAUAGGCCAGCAGCUGCAGCUCUGAUUCAACCCCUAACCUGGGAAUUUCCAUAUGCUGCAUGUGCAGCCCUAAAAAGACCAAACAAACAAACAAAAACUUAUUGUUUUAAAAAAGAAUGCUUUUAAAGAUCACACGCACACACACAGACAAAACUCACAAAGUCCCCUAAUACAAUUUGAGUAUUUGUUUAAAUCACUAACAUUUAUCAACUAGGAAAAAACCUAAGAACUCACAUCUCCCCCAUCCAUCAUGGGGGGGGUAUAUUUUGUAUCUUUGCACAUAGCUCAAGAAAAAUUUUUUUUCCAUUAAAGAUUUAAAAUUGUCCUUUACAAAAAAAAAGCAUCUUUGGGUUAGCUGUUUUUACCUCUGUUUUUUAUACCUCUAUUGUUUACACCUCUAUUUUCUAUUUUUCUAUUUGAGCCUCCAUAUAAGGGUUACUUUUUCAGUAUUUAACCAGUGUUUCUUUGUUAAACCUUGCUGUUUUCAAAAAAAUUUUUUCCACCAUAUGAUUUUUCUUCCAGCCUUUCAGAAUAAUCUCAGACACUGCUAGGGCUUUAUAGGGCUAAAUACCAGUAGUAAAUAGGAUUUGGAUCAUUUAAUUCCUGCACUUUAAAUAUAUUUGCGAGAGAGGUAAAUUUUAUUUAAGGGCAGCCAACAUUUAUGGACUCUCGGCUGUGUAUGUAGCUAUCCCAUCCUUGGCAUCAAGUUUACACAAUCCCUGCAGACUGCUGAGACCCAUGAAGCAGCCAAAGGACACAUUUACCGAGCAAUAAAUUACAAAUGUAAGCUAAUAAUGUAGUAGAGAAUCUGAGCCCAUAUGUGCUGAGGAACAUCAAGCAGAAGAAUGAUGAGACAGCUGAUGAAGGUAUCCAGGCGCCUGUGAAAAUUUGCCCCUAUUUCACUAUAUAUUAAAUUACUAAUAAACAACACUGGGGAAUUUUCUCUUUCAUGCAUGUUUAACAUUGGAAUGAUAUGUGUGGGCUGUUAAAGGAAGAUUUAUGAUGAAAUUUGCUACAUCUUAAUUUAUGUAAAAUGCUUAUUAAUUAAAUAAUCUCUUUAACUUUUCCCUCAAGGAUUGCUUGUAAAUUUAUAUAUGUAUUUUCUUUUUUUAUUUAAGUAUAGUUCAUUUACAAUUUUUUCAACUGUACAGCAAAACGAUUCAGUUAUAUAUACUCUUUUACAAAAUUCCCCGUGCUAUAUUGUUACUCUUUAUAUCUAUAUUCUUAUUGUUUAUCUAUUUUAUGUAUAAUCAUUUGUAUAUGAUAACUCCAAACUCUUAGUUUAUCCCUCCCCACCCCUUUCUACCUUGGUAACCAUAAGUUUGUUUUCUGUGUCUGUGAUUCUAUUCCUGGUUUUUAAAUUAAUUCAUUUGUAUCAUUUUUUUUUAGAUUCCACAUAUAAGUGAAAUCAUAUUUGUCUUUGUCUGACUUAACAUCACUUAGUAUGAUAAUCUCUAAGUCUAUCCAUGUUACUGCAAAUGACAUUAUUUUAUUGUUUUUAUGGCUGAGGAAUAUUCUAUUGUGUGUGUGUAAUAUGUGUGUAAUAUGUGUGUGUGUGUGUGUGUGUGUGUGUGUGUGGUAUCUUCUUAUGUCAAUCAUCUAUUGAAGGCACUUGGGUUGUUUGUACCCAUGUCUUUGCUAUUAUAAACAGUGCUGCUAGGAACAUUGGGGUGCAUGUAUCUUCUCAAAUUAGAGUUUUUAUCUUUUCUGGAUAUAUGUCCAAGAGUGGGAUUGCUGGAUCAUAUGGCAACUCUAUUGUUGGGAACCUCCAUACUCUUCUCCAUAGUGGCUGUAACAAUAUAAAUUCCCACCAACAGUGUAUGAAAGUUUUCCUUUUCUCCACGCUCUCUCCUACAUCUAUAGACUCUUUGGUGAUGGCCAUUCUGACUGGUAUGAGGUGGUACCACAUUAUAGUUUUGAUUUGCUUUUCUGUAAUGACUAGUGAUGUUGAGCAUUUUUUCUUGUGCCUGUUGUCCGUGUAUAUGUCUUCUUUGGAGAAAUGUCUAUUUAGGUCUUCUAUACAGUUUUUCUUUCUUUCUUUCUUUCUUUCUUUCUUUCUUUCUUUCUUUCUUUCUUUCUUUCUUUCUUUCUUUCUUUCUUCCUUCCUUCCUUCCUUCCUUCCUUCCUUCCUUCCUUUCUUUCUUUCUAGGUUACUCAUUGUUUUUUCUUUUAUUUUUUAUUAUUUUAUUAUUAUUUAUUAUUAUUUUAUUAUUAUUUUUUUCUUUGUACAGACACAUUUGUGGCAUAUGGAAGUUCCCAGGAUAGUGGUCAAACUGGAACUGCAGCUGAGGCCUAUGCCACAGCCACAGCAAUAAUGGAUCUGAGCUGCUACAAACCUACUUAGCUUGCAGCAUUGCCAGAUCCUUAACCCACCUAGUGAGGCCAGGGAUCAAACCUGUAUUUUCAUGGACACUUCAUCAAGUUCUUAACCUGCUGAACCACAAUGGGAACUCCAUCUUUUAUUUUUUAAACUAAGCUGUAUAAGCUGUUUGUAUAUUUUGGAAAUUAAUCCUUUGUCAGUCGCAUCAUUUGUAAAUAUUUUCUCCCAUUCUGUCUUUUCAUUUUGUUUAUGGUUUCCUUUGCUGUGCAAAAACUUUUAAGCUUAAGUCCAAUUUGUUUAUUAUUUUGCUUUUAUUUCUUUUUCCUUGGGAGACUGAUUUUUAAAAAAAAAUAUUGCUGAGAUUUAUGUUGAAGAGUGUUCUUCCUAGGAGUUUUAUGGUGUCAUGUCAUACAUUUAGGUAAUUGAACCAUUUUGAAGGGUUUUUUUUAUUUUAUUUUAUUUUUUUUUGUACAUGGUGUGAGGGAAUGUUCUAAUUCCAUAAAUUUAUAAGUAGCAGUACAGCUUUCCCAGUACUACUUGUUGAAGUGGAAAUCUUUUCUCCAUUUUUUAUUCUUGCCUCUUCUGUUGUAGAUUAAUUGAUCAUAGGUGCAUUGAUUUAUUUACAGACUUUCUGUUCUAUUCCAUUUUUCUAUAUUCCUAUUUUUGUGUCAAUACCAUGCUGUUUUGAUAACUGUAGCUUUGUAGUAUAGUCUGAAGUCUAGAAAAGUUAUGCCUAUGACUUUGUUCUUCUUUCUCAGGAUCAUUUUGACAAUUCUGUAUCUUUUGUAGUUUCACAUAAAUUUUAGGAUUAUUUGUUCUAGUUCUGUGAAAAAUGUCAUGGGUAUUUGAUAGGGAUUGCAUUAAAUCCUUAGAUUGCUUUGAGUAGUAUGGCCAUUUAAACAAUAGUAAUUCUUCUAUUCCAAGAGCACAGGAGAGCUUUUCAUUUCUUUGAAUUAUCUUCAAUUUACCUUAUUGAUGUUUUAAAGCUUUCAGUGUAUGUCAACCUCCACUUUCACUUCUGGACCUAUAGUGCAUUCACAUUUAAAAAUGAUAAAAUGUCUAGGAGUAAAUUGACUCACAUAUACCAUGAUGAACAAUUGAUAAUAACCCAUUAUCCUAUUUCAAAGUCACCAAAGAAAGAAAGAACCAAAACAUAUUAAAGGGACUCUAAAUAGAAAUAUGACUUAAAUCUGGAAUUCCUGUCAUGGCGCAGUGGUUAACGAAUCCGACUAGGAACCAUGAGGUUGAGGGUUCGAUCCCUGGCCUUGCUCAGUGGGUUAAGGAUCCGGCAUUGCCAUGACCUGUGGUGCAGGUUGCAGAUGCGGCUCGGAUCCCGCGUUGCUGUGGCUGUAGUGUAGGCCGGUGACUACAGCUUCGAUUUGACCCCUAGACUGGAAUCCUCCAUAUGCCGCGGGAAGCAGCCCUCAAAAAGGCAAAAAGACAAAAAAAAAAAAAGAAAGAAAGAAAGAAAUAUGACUUAAAUCUAAUAUGUUUGGAGGGCCUCCAAUACCACAAUAAGAUGUCUCUUCCUCUGAUCAACUUCUGAUACUGAUCUUGCCAUCGUUUAGUUACUCAGAGAUUUAAAUUCUCUUGACAAAGCCAUUUUAACUUAUCUCAGAGUUGCUCUUUGUGAUGCAUGGGCACCAUUUUAAGUAUUUCUAAAUUUUUUUCAAAUUUCAAGAAUUAUUUGCUAAUAUAAAUUCGUGUAUAAUCUGUAAGUGGAGUACCAGUCCAUAGGGUGGGGUGGUUGUGGCCUCACAUCCCAGGAGGAUGGAAUGAAGAUCCCUGGCCUUGCUCAGUGUAUUAAGGAUCUGGCGUUGCUGUGAGGUGCAGCACAGCUCAUAGAUAUGGCUUAGAUCUGGGGGUGUUGCUGUGGCCGUGGUGUGGGUCACAGCUGCAGCUCCAAUUUGACCCC
RNAcentral lists this long non-coding RNA (6590 nucleotides) under Sus scrofa (pig). Its description in RNAcentral is "lncRNA (ENSSSCG00000061520.1)". Lineage: Eukaryota; Metazoa; Chordata; Mammalia; Artiodactyla; Suidae. The record is from RNAcentral.